AGCUCCAAUAGCGUAUAUUAAAGUUGUUGCAGUUAAAAAGCUCGUAGUUGAACUUCAGGCUUGGCCGGAUGGUCCGCCUCACGGUGUGUACUGUCUGGCUGAGUCUUACCUCUUGGUGAGCCGGCGUGCCCUUUAUUGGUGUGCGUCGGGGAACCAGGACUUUUACCUUGAGAAAAUUAGAGUGUUCAAAGCAGGCCUAUGCCCGAAUACAUUAGCAUGGAAUAAUAGAAUAGGACGUGCGGUUCUAUUUUGUUGGUUUCUAGAGUCGCCGUAAUGAUUAAUAGGGAUAGUUGGGGGCAUUGGUAUUAAGUCGCUAGAGGUGAAAUUCUUGGAUUGACUUAAGACCAACUAUUGCGAAAGCAUUUGCCAAGGAUGUUUUCA
This 381-nucleotide ribosomal RNA is filed under the name uncultured eukaryote. Its description in RNAcentral is "SSU rRNA". It matches the Rfam family "Eukaryotic small subunit ribosomal RNA", at positions 587 to 972 of the family's 1831-position model. The record is from RNAcentral.